UCUUCACCUGCCUCUGCCUGCA
Molecule: microRNA, 22 nt
Filed under: Homo sapiens (human)
Lineage: Eukaryota; Metazoa; Chordata; Mammalia; Primates; Hominidae
Description: hsa-miR-6754-3p
Source: miRBase by way of RNAcentral